This is a long non-coding RNA of Anopheles stephensi (Asian malaria mosquito), 496 nucleotides long. RefSeq lists it as uncharacterized. The transcript has 2 exons. NCBI's taxonomy places the organism in Eukaryota, Metazoa, Arthropoda, Insecta, Diptera, Culicidae. The record is from RefSeq and is a predicted model, not a curated record.
GUGGCGGCCACCAAGGGCCCCUCCAGGGGCGCACUGGUCCGUUUGCUGUGUUUGUGUGUACACACAGCGAGACUGUUGAUAACCUCGAGCACUUUUCGUUUCUUGCCACGGGACAGCACAAGACAAUUAUGGGUGCCGACCGACGGUACCAUCUACGACAAUGGAGCAGGUGUGUGUGCUAGAUAAGCAUAGACAACCUCCUGGUGCUCCAACGUUGACAGGAUGUGUUUUUGUACUUGCUCGAAAAAGGAUGCAAAUCAAACUCACAUUAAGGGCGAAAGCGACGAGCAAAACAGAUACGAGCCGUGUUUGUGGCAAAUGGUGAGGUGAGAACACUAAAAACCAGAACUUCUCCUCGUGCGAGAUUAUGCGGAUGCCUCUACAGUCGGUAACGGAAAAAUACUUGGCUCAAUAGAAGGCUCUUUUAAGGUUGAAACAUCGAAUUAGAGAAAAAAAGCCAAUAAUUUAUUAAAAUAAACAAAACUGACACAUAUUA